CCUAGUUAGAGUUAUGUUUCAUGUCAAACUGAGCUCUUGUUCCAAAAGUUUUACAUUGUAAAAGUCGCUUUACUACCAGCAUAUCAUGUAUUUGAUCAAGUCGAUUCUCUUGCUACUAGUGUGUUCGUUCUGUGGCGCAUGUAAAGAGGGAUUCUACACUUAUUCAACACACAACGGCCUUGCUGGCUAUGUGGACGGUCCUUGCCUCCUUUGCCUUCAAAACAAUGCGAAUGAAGGCACAUUUAACUAUGAAUGUAACAAUGGCCUCGUGUGUGUGGGCAACCGCGGUUCAUCGUCACGUCUAUGUAAGCAAAAGGACAAACAGAGCUGAGCUGUAAACCUUGUCUGGCAACAAUAAACAAGGUCUCAGAGAA
Molecule: long non-coding RNA, 374 nt
Organism: Macrosteles quadrilineatus (aster leafhopper)
Lineage: Eukaryota; Metazoa; Arthropoda; Insecta; Hemiptera; Cicadellidae
Exons: 2
Source: RefSeq, a predicted model, not a curated record